AUGACUCUCAUCACCAUCCUCAUCUGGACGCUGGCCUGCUGCUGUUUUACAGGAUGCAGCGGUCAGGUGACUGUGACUCAGCCUGCAGUAAAGACAUCUGCUCCAGGAUCCACUGUCACUAUCGACUGUAAGACCAGCCAGGAUCCUUACAGAGAUGGUCAUGGAUAUCGGCUGUCCUGGUAUCAACAGAAAUCUGGACAGACUCCAAAGCUUCUAAUAAAAUUAGUGAGCACACGUGUAUCAGGAACUGCUCGGUUUAGUGGCAGUGGAAGCAGCUCUGACUUCACUUUGACCAUCAGUGGAGUUCAGACUGAAGAUGCAGCAGUUUAUUACUGUCAGAGUGCACACCAAAUAAACAGUGUUUGGUCGUCCACACAGUGA
Non-coding RNA from Centropristis striata (black sea bass), 381 nucleotides. Lineage: Eukaryota; Metazoa; Chordata; Actinopteri; Perciformes; Serranidae. The record is from the annotation of a RefSeq genome assembly.